This 586-nucleotide long non-coding RNA is filed under the name Anas platyrhynchos platyrhynchos (common mallard). Its description in RNAcentral is "lncRNA (ENSAPLG00000022967.1)". Lineage: Eukaryota; Metazoa; Chordata; Aves; Anseriformes; Anatidae. The record is from RNAcentral.
CAUGUGUUAACAUUUCUCAGAGGUCAGGGUGAAAUAUUUGAAUCUGAGGUAUUCAAGAGAGAUACCGACUGAUAAAUAACACAAACAACAUUAAACCCUAGGCUGGUGAGAAGGAAGGUGGGAGAAAAUGCAUUUCUCAGCUUCUGGUAGGUACAGUGCCUGAGGCUGAGAGCUGAAAGCAAGAGCAAGGAUCAUCAUUGACCAAAGGAUGGACCGUAAUUUGAAAUACAGUCUUCAUCUUUAAUGAAAGGAGAUUCAAGACUGAGAAAGACUAAGAGAAAUGUUUGACGAACAUCUUGAGAAAGACAUGAAAGCAGCAGUAAACAGAAAGAAGUCCACGGAAGUCAGAGUGUGCUGGAGUCAACAAGGAGAAUUGGGGCCUGAUUGCAGAAAGUGUGCAAAACAUGGGAGGAACAUGAAAGAGGCUGUUUUGCCAGGAACAUUAAGCCAUUACUCUAUAUUGCUACAUGCACUCCCAGGAAUAUUUCUAAACAAGAAGCGAAGCAUCUCUAACUGUUUAGAGGAAAUGUUAUUACACAAUGGAGGACAAAACAGGCAAGCUACUUCAAACAGGAUAAAUGGAUGA